Molecule: long non-coding RNA, 711 nt
Organism: Penaeus monodon (black tiger shrimp)
Lineage: Eukaryota; Metazoa; Arthropoda; Malacostraca; Decapoda; Penaeidae
Exons: 2
Source: RefSeq, a predicted model, not a curated record
GCGAAAUAAAGGAACUCGGAGACAAGAGUCAGUUCCUUGCAAGUGGCACACGGCAGACGCUGGGAAGGUGUCGAGGCACUGCCCGUCUCUCAGGUGCAGUGCCUUCAUUGUGGCGCUGGUGGAGACUUCUCUUGCCACUGCACAACAGGUGUAUGUUACAGUGACGCUCACUAUUUACACACACACCUGGAACAGGUGUUGUCUUCGCCGUCUGAAGUGUCGCACGGGUGUUAACAUUCCCUCCAUCAGUAUGACACGUGUGAACUUGCCUGUCUCUUAACCAGGAAGACACGAGCGUAAACCUCUUUUUAAGCAGAACAGCACAGGGGUUGACCUCUCUUUGUGCUGGAUAAAAGUGUUACUUCCCCUUGGCAAGGAUGGCACAGGUGUUCAUUUUUAAACCAGGUGUGUGGGCAGAGAGCAAGUGCGCCUGCAAGCACGGUGCGCGUGGAGGGCGCGCGAGGCUGACGGCGCGCGGGUCAGGGCUUCGUGCAGGAGCCGGAGGCACGGCUGCGGCUGUUGCGCUCGCGCCGCGGAGGAGAGCCUGUCGCGUGGCCAGAAUGAGAAAGUUCUUCAAGUGAGGAAGAACGAGAUCAGAAGGCAAAGCCAAAAGGCGGCGCAAACAAGAAUGAACUUCCCCGAAUUAUCUUUGUCUCACAAAAUAGGGAAGAGUCUUCUGGGUUUGUUUACUAAAUAAAAGAUUAUAACGUG